UACGGAGGGUGCAAGCGUUGUUCGGAAUCAUUGGGCGUAAAGCGCGUGUAGGCGGCUUGGCAAGUCAGUUGUGAAAGCCCGGGGCCCAACCCCGGAAUUGCAUCUGAAACUGCCUGGCUAGAGUCCCGGAGAGGAAGGCAGAAUUCCCGGUGUAGGGGUGAAAUCCGUAGAUAUCGGGAGGAACACCUGUGGCGAAGGCGGCCACCUGGUUGGAUACUGACGCUGAGACGCGAAAGCGUGGGGAGCAAACAGG
This 253-nucleotide ribosomal RNA is filed under the name uncultured bacterium. RNAcentral's name for it is "partial 16S ribosomal RNA". It matches the Rfam family "Bacterial small subunit ribosomal RNA", at positions 524 to 776 of the family's 1533-position model. The record is from RNAcentral.